ACUGGACCCUUUGUCCAUAGUGUGGCUGCUGUGUCACAUGUGCAUCAAAGGGGUGGCAGAGAGGAGAGAGGCUAUGUCUACACUUAGUGUUGUGACCUAUUAACAUCUGAAUGAUUGGUGGCUUAACACU
Small nucleolar RNA from Mastomys coucha (southern multimammate mouse), 130 nucleotides. RefSeq annotates it as small nucleolar RNA SNORA17. The record is from RefSeq and is a predicted model, not a curated record. The transcript has a single exon. NCBI's taxonomy places the organism in Eukaryota, Metazoa, Chordata, Mammalia, Rodentia, Muridae.